This 255-nucleotide ribosomal RNA is filed under the name uncultured bacterium. Its description in RNAcentral is "partial 16S ribosomal RNA". It matches the Rfam family "Bacterial small subunit ribosomal RNA", at positions 793 to 1055 of the family's 1533-position model. The record is from RNAcentral.
GUCCACGCCGUAAACGAUGGAUACUAGCUGUUGGGGGCAACUUCAGUGGCUAAGCGAAAGUGAUAAGUAUCCCACCUGGGGAGUACGUUCGCAAGAAUGAAACUCAAAGGAAUUGACGGGGGCCCGCACAAGCGGUGGAGCAUGUGGUUUAAUUCGAUGAUACGCGAGGAACCUUACCAAGGCUUAAAUGUAGAUUGACCGGUUUGGAAACAGACUUUUUGCAAGACAAUUUACAAGGUGCUGCAUGGUUGUCGU